This 508-nucleotide ribosomal RNA is filed under the name uncultured bacterium. Its description in RNAcentral is "partial 16S ribosomal RNA". It matches the Rfam family "Bacterial small subunit ribosomal RNA", at positions 29 to 523 of the family's 1533-position model. The record is from RNAcentral.
AUUGAACGCUGGCGGCAGGCCUAACACAUGCAAGUCGAGCGGCAGCGGGAAAGUAGCUUGCUACUUUUGCCGGCGAGCGGCGGACGGGUGGGUAAUGCCUGGGAAAUUGCCCAGUCGAGGGGGAUAACAGUUGGAAACGACUGCUAAUACCGCAUACGCCCUACGGGGGAAAGCAGGGGACCUUCGGGCCUUGCGCGAUUGGAUAUGCCCAGGUGGGAUUAGCUAGUUGGUGAGGUAAUGGCACACCAAGGCGACGAUCCCUAGCUGGUCUGAGAGGAUGAUCACCCCCAGGGGAACUGAGCAAGGGUCCAGACUCCCACGGGGGGCAGCAGUGGGGAAUAUUGCAAAAUGGGGAAACCCCUGAGGAAGCCAGGCCGGGUGUGUGAAGAGGGCCUUCGGUUUGUAAACCACUUUCAGCGAGGAGGAAAGGUUGAUGCCUAAUACGUACAAACUGUGACGUUACUCGCAGAAGAAGCACCGGCUAACUCCGUGCCAGCCGCCGCCGUAA